Molecule: ribosomal RNA, 293 nt
Filed under: uncultured bacterium
Lineage: Bacteria
Description: partial 16S ribosomal RNA
Rfam family: Bacterial small subunit ribosomal RNA
Source: RNAcentral
CGAACCUACGGGAGGCAGCAGUGAGGAAUAUUGGUCAAUGGACGAGAGUCUGAACCAGCCAAGUAGCGUGAGGGAAUAAGGCCCUACGGGUCGUAAACCUCUUUUGCCGGGGAGCAAGGGCCGGGACGCGUCCCGGCCCGGAGAGUACCCGGAGAAAAAGCAUCGGCUAACUCCAUGCCAGCAGCCGCGGUAAUACGGAGGAUGCGAGCGUUAUCCGGAUUUAUUGGGUUUAAAGGGUGCGUAGGCGGGCUUUUAAGUCAGCGGUAAAAAUUCGGGGCUCAACCCCGUCCGGC